UUUAACCCCUAUAUGUUUGCUGUAGGCUGGUAGCCAUCAUAAUCUGCUGCUAACUUCAAGCGGUAAUGUUUACAAACAGUGAAUAUGAGAUAGGCCAGACACAAAGACAGCUGCAUGAUAUUCUCAGGAACCACAGUGCACUUCAAAGACAUUCACGAAUGGCACCACAUCCCUGAGUGAUCAGAGACACACCCAGCUUUGGACAUUACUGCAUAUGACCCCAUAUAAUCUUUGGUACUUUUAAGAUACACAAGUCGUUAGUAAAUGUUUAAAACGUAAGUCAAAAUCAGACUGGAGUCGGACUUCUAGAGAACUGACUCUAAAAGAGAGACUAUACAUCUUGUUUUAAAUGCAGCAAGAGUGUAAAGCUGGCAAUGUUGAAGGCAUGGGUUGGUUUCUCAGAAAACACAUAUUGAUUAAAUGUUUACCUAAAUACUGCUUUAGAAAAAAAAAAAAAAAACCAUACUGGUAAGCUACAGUUCCUUCACUAAUAUGAUUAUCCCGUGAAUGCAAUCACAUUUGUUGUUAGAUGCAGGCAAAUACCACUCUCAUUCCAUGGUCAGAUUUGACCUUUUAAUCAUCAUUAUCAUUUUUCUAAGAAAAAAAAAGCACUUCAAUGUAAUAACUUUGUAAAGUAAUAAUACCACUUAAUCAUGCUUUUCUUUAGACCUUAUUUAUAUUUAAAUUAUUACACCAUUAAAAAAAAAACACAUUUUAUAUUACUUUCACUAUAAUACAGCAGCAGUAAUAUACUUUUUAUAUUACUUUCAACUGGAUCAGUACCCUAUUAAUUAACCAUGAAGUCUGACAGUCAGACCAGUCUCUCUCUCUCUCUCUCUCUCUGUGUCUGUGUGUGUGUGUGUGUGUGUGUGUGUGUGUGUGUGUGUAAAGCAUUAACAGGAGAGAGCGCAGGUGCUGUGUGCUGAGUAAUGACCUCUUACUGUCUCUAUUGUUCCUUUAUAUCAGCCAUUAAGUCUCAUGCUCCUCAUACUCUCCACCUGCAGUCUGGUGCACACGAACUCAUGAGAGCAUGCAUCAACUCUUUUUGUUCUUUGUGUCUCAACCUCUUUCGUCUCAAUCAGCAAGAAUGCUACCAAAUGGAAUGCCAGCCCAAAGAAACUGUUUGAUUGCUAUGAACGACUGCAUAACAACAGAUCGUUGUUUGGAUGUCCACAGGUUGUGUCGUCGUGAUUCGUUCCAGUUCUGUUCCUGAGUCUAGUUCCUGUUCGGUGUCCUGUGAUGUUCGUCUCGUCUUGUCUGGAAAUCCACCGUCACCUGUCUUCACCAGCACGCUGACCGCCUAGUCCCUGCACCACCAGCCCACCCGAGCUCCAUUACUACGUUGUGUUUGUUUCUCUAAAUAAAGAACCCUUGCAUCAUUGCUUCCGCCUCUCG
Long non-coding RNA from Cyprinus carpio (common carp), 1395 nucleotides. NCBI's taxonomy places the organism in Eukaryota, Metazoa, Chordata, Actinopteri, Cypriniformes, Cyprinidae. The record is from Ensembl.